CCCCUUUAUAAAUCAUUCAUCGGACCUUUUGUUUAUGACUCACAGAGUCAUCAAGAAAGGACAGAGUAAAAACACCAAUUUUGGAAGUUGUGUGAUAUUUGCUGUGGGAAAG
RNAcentral lists this small nucleolar RNA (112 nucleotides) under Fukomys damarensis (Damara mole-rat). Lineage: Eukaryota; Metazoa; Chordata; Mammalia; Rodentia; Bathyergidae. The record is from RNAcentral.